Molecule: unclassified non-coding RNA, 77 nt
Organism: Lepidothrix coronata (blue-crowned manakin)
Lineage: Eukaryota; Metazoa; Chordata; Aves; Passeriformes; Pipridae
Source: Ensembl
UCAGACCAUUGCCUAUAGGUGAUGAGCUCCAUGAAGAGUGAAACCAGUUAGGUCCUGUAUUGCUAGCCUAAUGAACA